This 314-nucleotide ribosomal RNA is filed under the name uncultured Anaerolineaceae bacterium. RNAcentral's name for it is "bacterial SSU rRNA". It matches the Rfam family "Bacterial small subunit ribosomal RNA", at positions 1057 to 1382 of the family's 1533-position model. Lineage: Bacteria; Bacillati; Chloroflexota; Anaerolineae; Anaerolineales; Anaerolineaceae. The record is from RNAcentral.
AGCUCGUGUCGUGAGUAUGUUCGGUUAAGUCCGCUAACGAGCGCAACCCUCGCUGUGUGUUACAAGUGUCACACGGAACUGCCGGUCAUAAACCGGAGGAAGGUGGGGAUGACGUCAAGUCAGCAUGGCCUUUAUAUCCUGGGCUACACACACGCUACAAUGGGAAGGGACAAUAGGUUGCGAAGCCGCGAGGCGGAGCCAAUCCAGCAAAACUUCCCUCAGUUCAGAUUGCAGGCUGCAACUCGCCUGCAUGAAGUUGGAGUUGCUAGUAAACGCAGGUCAGCCAUACUGCGUUGAAUACGUUCCCGGGGCUU